This 1341-nucleotide ribosomal RNA is filed under the name uncultured rumen bacterium. RNAcentral describes it as "bacterial SSU rRNA". It matches the Rfam family "Bacterial small subunit ribosomal RNA", at positions 43 to 1377 of the family's 1533-position model. The record is from RNAcentral.
CAGGCCUAACACAUGCAAGUCGAGGGGCAUCAUUUCGAAAGCUUGCUUUUGAAGAUGGCGACCGGCGCACGGGUGAGUAACGCGUAUCCAACCUUCCCCUUAGUAGGGCAUAGCCCGGCGAAAGUCGGAUUAAUACCCUAUGUUCUUUACGGAUGGCAUCUGAAGUAAAGCAAAGAUUUAUCGCUAAGGGAUGGGGAUGCGUCUGAUUAGGUUGUUGGCGGGGUAACGGCCCACCAAGCCUACGAUCAGUAGGGGUUCUGAGAGGAAGGUCCCCCACAUUGGUACUGAGACACGGACCAAACUCCUACGGGAGGCAGCAGUGAGGAAUAUUGGUCAAUGGGCGAGAGCCUGAACCAGUCAAGUAGCGUGCAGGAUGACGGCCCUAUGGGUUGUAAACUGCUUUUGUCAGGGGAUAAAAAAGAGAACGUGUUCUCUAUUGCAUGUACCUGAAGAAUAAGGACCGGCUAAUUCCGUGCCAGCAGCCGCGGUAAUACGGAAGGUCCAGGCGUUAUCCGGAUUUAUUGGGUUUAAAGGGAGCGCAGGCUGGAGAUUAAGCGUGACGUGAAAUGCCGCGGCUCAACCGUGGAAGUGCGUCGCGAACUGGUUUCCUUGAGUGUAUUAGACGUCAGCGGAAUUCGUGGUGUAGCGGUGAAAUGCUUAGAUAUCACGAAGAACUCCGAUUGCGAAGGCAGCUGGCGAGGCUAUAACUGACGCUAAAGCUCGAAGGUGCGGGUAUCGAACAGGAUUAGAUACCCUGGUAGUCCGCACGGUAAACGAUGGAUGCCCGCUGUUGGCGAUAUACGGUCAGCGGCCAAGCGAAAGCGUUAAGCAUCCCACCUGGGGAGUACGCCGGCAACGGUGAAACUCAAAGGAAUUGACGGGGGCCCGCACAAGCGGAGGAACAUGUGGUUUAAUUCGAUGAUACGCGAGGAACCUUACCCGGGCUUGAACUGCAGGCGAACGAUUCAGAGAUGAUGAGGCCCUUCGGGGCGCCUGUGGAGGUGCUGCAUGGUUGUCGUCAGCUCGUGCCGUGAGGUGUCGGCUUAAGUGCCAUAACGAGCGCAACCCCUCUCUUCAGUUGCCAUCAGGUAGAGCUGGGCACUCUGGAGACACUGCCACCGUAAGGUGUGAGGAAGGUGGGGAUGACGUCAAAUCAGCACGGCCCUUACGUCCGGGGCUACACACGUGUUACAAUGGGAGGUACAGAGAGAUGGUGUCCUGCAAAGUGCAUCAAAUCCUUAAAGCCUUCCUCAGUUCGGAUUGGGGUCUGCAACCCGACCCCAUGAAGCUGGAUUCGCUAGUAAUCGCGCAUCAGCCAUGGCGCGGUGAAUACGUUCCCGG